Molecule: transfer RNA, 85 nt
Filed under: Spirochaetales bacterium
Lineage: Bacteria; Pseudomonadati; Spirochaetota; Spirochaetia; Spirochaetales
Description: tRNA-Leu
Rfam family: tRNA
About the family: Transfer RNA (tRNA) molecules are approximately 80 nucleotides in length. Their secondary structure includes four short double-helical elements and three loops (D, anti-codon, and T loops).
Source: RNAcentral
GCGGCGAUGGUGGAAUUUGGUAGACACGCUAGCUUGAGGUGCUAGUGGGAGAAAUCUUGUGCUGGUUCAAGUCCAGUUGGCCGCA